This 697-nucleotide ribosomal RNA is filed under the name Bacillus sp. Y5_2. Its description in RNAcentral is "bacterial SSU rRNA". It matches the Rfam family "Bacterial small subunit ribosomal RNA", at positions 54 to 735 of the family's 1533-position model. Lineage: Bacteria; Bacillati; Bacillota; Bacilli; Caryophanales; Bacillaceae. The record is from RNAcentral.
UCUGCAGUCGAGCGGAUCUUUGGGAGCUUGCUCCCAAAGAUUAGCGGCGGACGGGUGAGUAACACGUGGGCAACCUGCCUAUGAGACUGGGAUAACUCCGGGAAACCGGGGCUAAUACCGGAUAAUUCUUUUCUACACAUGUAGAAAAGCUGAAAGAUGGUUUCGGCUAUCACUCAUAGAUGGGCCCGCGGCGCAUUAGCUAGUUGGUGAGGUAACGGCUCACCAAGGCGACGAUGCGUAGCCGACCUGAGAGGGUGAUCGGCCACACUGGGACUGAGACACGGCCCAGACUCCUACGGGAGGCAGCAGUAGGGAAUCUUCCGCAAUGGACGAAAGUCUGACGGAGCAACGCCGCGUGAGUGAUGAAGGUUUUCGGAUCGUAAAACUCUGUUGUUAGGGAAGAACAAGUACCGGAGUAACUGCCGGUACCUUGACGGUACCUAACCAGAAAGCCACGGCUAACUACGUGCCAGCAGCCGCGGUAAUACGUAGGUGGCAAGCGUUGUCCGGAAUUAUUGGGCGUAAAGCGCGCGCAGGUGGUCUCUUAAGUCUGAUGUGAAAGCCCCCGGCUCAACCGGGGAGGGUCAUUGGAAACUGGGAGACUUGAGUGCAGGAGAGAAGAGUGGAAUUCCACGUGUAGCGGUGAAAUGCGUAGAGAUGUGGAGGAACACCAGUGGCGAAGGCGACUCUUUGGCCU